This 499-nucleotide ribosomal RNA is filed under the name uncultured eukaryote. Its description in RNAcentral is "bacterial SSU rRNA". It matches the Rfam family "Eukaryotic small subunit ribosomal RNA", at positions 21 to 549 of the family's 1831-position model. The record is from RNAcentral.
UAGUCAUAUGCUUGUCUCAAAGAUUAAGCCAUGCAUGUUCCAGUAUGAGUUUUAAUAUAACGAAACUGCGAAGGGCUCAAUAAAUCGGUUAUUAAACAAUCGACGAUUCUCAAAUGGUUAUCCGUGACAAUUCUACGGUUAAUACAUGUACUGCCACUAUGUGGUGCCUUUAUUUUGACUAUGGCUAACAGCUCUGCUGAUCGUCGUGAAGAAAUUAUCUGUGCUUAUCGUUCUUUUGAAAGAAGCUUCGAAGUUAUUUCCGCCCUAUCAGCUUUCGUCGGUAACGUAGUGGUUUACCGAGGCAGUGACGGGUAACGGGGAAUUAGGGUUUGACUCCGGAGAGGGAGCCUGAGAAACGGCUACCACAUCUAUGGAAGGCAGCAGGCGCGCGAAUUACCCAAUCCUAUACUAGGGAGGUAGUGACAAGAAAUAACAACGUAAAUAUCAAAUAUUUAUGAUUGGAAUGAGGGGACUUUAAAAUCUUCCCCGAGGAUCCAUU